This 264-nucleotide ribosomal RNA is filed under the name uncultured archaeon. RNAcentral's name for it is "partial 16S ribosomal RNA". It matches the Rfam family "Archaeal small subunit ribosomal RNA", at positions 717 to 982 of the family's 1478-position model. The record is from RNAcentral.
ACACGACUACAUUAGAUACCCGCGUAGUCCUAGCCGUAAACGAUACCCGCUAGGUGUCGGCCACGGUGCGACCGUUGUCGGUGCCGUAGGGAAGCCGUGAAGCGAGCCACCUGGGAAGUACGGCCGCAAGGCUGAAACUUAAAGGAAUUGGCGGGGAGCACCACAACGGGUGGAGCUUGCGGUUUAAUUGGAUUCAACGCCGGAAAUCUUACCGGGACCGACAGCAACAUGAAGGCCAGGCUGAAGACUUUGCCGGAUUAGCUG